This 477-nucleotide ribosomal RNA is filed under the name uncultured bacterium. Its description in RNAcentral is "partial 16S ribosomal RNA". It matches the Rfam family "Bacterial small subunit ribosomal RNA", at positions 30 to 507 of the family's 1533-position model. The record is from RNAcentral.
AUUGAACGCUGGCGGCAUGCCUUACACAUGCAAGUCGAACGGUAACAGGUUAAGCUGGCGAGUGGCGCACGUGUGAGUAAUGUAUCUGAACGUGCCCAGUCGUGGGCUAUAACUUCUCGAAAGAGCAGCUAAUACCGCAUACUACCUGAGGGUGAAAGCGGGGGCUCGCAAGACCUCGCACAAUUUCAGCGGCCGAUAUCGGAUUAGCUAGUUGUUGAGGUAAAGGCUCACCAAGCCGACGACCUGUAGCUGGUCUGAGGGGAGGAUCAGCCACACGGGGACUGAGACACGGACCAGACUCCUGCGGGAGGCAGCAGUGGGGAAUGUGAGACAAUGGGCGCGAGCAUGAUACAGCCAUGCCGAGCGCGGGAAGAAAGCCCUCGGGUUGUAAACAGCUUCUGUCAGGGAAGAAAAGGUUCUGGCUAAUACCUGGGACUCAUGACGGUAACUGAAGAAUAAGCACCGGCUAACUACGUG